This 468-nucleotide ribosomal RNA is filed under the name uncultured bacterium. RNAcentral describes it as "partial 16S ribosomal RNA". It matches the Rfam family "Bacterial small subunit ribosomal RNA", at positions 28 to 507 of the family's 1533-position model. The record is from RNAcentral.
GACGAACGCUGGCGGCGUGCUUAACACAUGCAAGUCGAACGGAAAGGCCCUGCUUUUGUGGGGUGCUCGAGUGGCGAACGGGUGAGUAACACGUGAGUAACCUGCCCUUGACUUUGGGGUAACUUCAGGAAACUGGGGCUAAUACCGGAUAGCAGCUCCUGCUGCAUGGUGGGGGUUGGAAAGUUUCGGCGGUUGGGGAUGGACUCGCGGCUUAUCAGCUUGUUGGUGGGGUAGUGGCUUACCAAGGCUUUGACGGGUAGCCGGCCUGAGAGGGUGACCGGCCACAUUGGGACUGAGAUACGGCCCAGACUCCUACGGGAGGCAGCAGUGGGGAAUAUGGCACAAUGGGCGGAAGUCUGAUGCAGCAACGCCGCGGGCGGGAUGACGGCCUUCGGGUUGUAAACCGCUUUCGCCUGUGACGAAGCGUGAGUGACGGUAAUGGGUAAAGAAGCACCGGCUAACUACGUG